GUAGUUAUAGCUCAGUCGUAGAGCGUGUGCUUAGUAUGCACAAGGUCCUGGGUUCAAUCCCCAGUAACUCCA
RNAcentral lists this transfer RNA (72 nucleotides) under Camelus bactrianus (Bactrian camel). It matches the Rfam family "tRNA". Rfam says of the family: Transfer RNA (tRNA) molecules are approximately 80 nucleotides in length. Their secondary structure includes four short double-helical elements and three loops (D, anti-codon, and T loops). RNAcentral also lists the same sequence under 2 other names. Lineage: Eukaryota; Metazoa; Chordata; Mammalia; Artiodactyla; Camelidae. The record is from Rfam by way of RNAcentral.